Molecule: small RNA, 114 nt
Filed under: Mycoplasmoides pneumoniae M129
Lineage: Bacteria; Bacillati; Mycoplasmatota; Mycoplasmoidales; Mycoplasmoidaceae
Description: Mycoplasma pneumoniae M129 ncRNA
Source: RNAcentral
ACUAAGGUAGUCGCCAUUCGCGCAAACUGGACUUGGUUACGUUUAAUUGUUUGAAAGUACUGUUCUAAGGUGCGCCGCGCUUCAAUUAAAGUAAUUUCAAACCACUGUUUCACU